This 1135-nucleotide ribosomal RNA is filed under the name uncultured Microbacteriaceae bacterium. RNAcentral's name for it is "bacterial SSU rRNA". It matches the Rfam family "Bacterial small subunit ribosomal RNA", at positions 223 to 1368 of the family's 1533-position model. The record is from RNAcentral. Lineage: Bacteria; Bacillati; Actinomycetota; Actinomycetes; Micrococcales; Microbacteriaceae.
GGAUGGACUCGCGGCCUAUCAGCUAGUUGGUGAGGUAACGGCUCACCAAGGCGUCGACGGGUAGCCGGCCUGAGAGGGUGACCGGCCACACUGGGACUGAGACACGGCCCAGACUCCUACGGGAGGCAGCAGUGGGGAAUAUUGCACAAUGGGCGCAAGCCUGAUGCAGCAACGCCGCGUGGGGGACGAAGGCCUUCGGGUUGUAAACCUCUUUUAGUAGGGAAGAAGCGAAAGUGACGGUACCUGCAGAAAAAGCACCGGCUAACUACGUGCCAGCAGCCGCGGUAAUACGUAGGGUGCGAGCGUUGUCCGGAAUUAUUGGGCGUAAAGAGCUCGUAGGCGGUUUGUCACGUCUGCUGUGAAAACCCGAGGCUCAACCUCGGGCCUGCAGUGGGUACGGGCAGACUAGAGUGCGGUAGGGGAGAACGGAAUUCCUGGUGUAGCGGUGGAAUGCGCAGAUAUCAGGAGGAACACCGAUGGCGAAGGCAGUUCUCUGGGCCGUAACUGACGCUGAGGAGCGAAAGCGUGGGGAGCGAACAGGAUUAGAUACCCUGGUAGUCCACGCCGUAAACGUUGGGCGCUAGAUGUGGGGACCAUUCCACGGUUUCCGCGUCGUAGCUAACGCAUUAAGCGCCCCGCCUGGGGAGUACGGCCGCAAGGCUAAAACUCAAAGGAAUUGACGGGGGCCCGCACAAGCGGCGGAGCAUGCGGAUUAAUUCGAUGCAACGCGAAGAACCUUACCAAGGCUUGACAUAUGCGAGAACGCUCUAGAAAUAGAGAACUCUUUGGACACUCGUGUACAGGUGGUGCAUGGUUGUCGUCAGCUCGUGUCGUGAGAUGUUGGGUUAAGUCCCGCAACGAGCGCAACCCUCGUCGCAUGUUGCCAGCACGUAAUGGUGGGAACUCAUGUGAGACUGCCGGGGUCAACUCGGAGGAAGGUGGGGAUGACGUCAAAUCAUCAUGCCCCUUAUGUCUUGGGCUUCACGCAUGCUACAAUGGCCGGUACAAAGGGCUGCGAAACCGCAAGGUGGAGCGAAUCCCAAAAAGCCGGUCUCAGUUCGGAUUGAGGUCUGCAACUCGACCUCAUGAAGUCGGAGUCGCUAGUAAUCGCAGAUCAGCAACGCUGCGGUGAAUA